Long non-coding RNA from Rana temporaria (common frog), 1491 nucleotides. RefSeq lists it as uncharacterized. The record is from RefSeq and is a predicted model, not a curated record. The transcript is spliced from 5 exons. Lineage: Eukaryota; Metazoa; Chordata; Amphibia; Anura; Ranidae.
UAAUUAAUAAAUAAUAAUAGUUUUUGUUUACAUUCACAAAUCCAAUAUCUACUACCACCGUUUGCAAGAAUGUUAUCAACCCAAGCUGGGGUUAGUUUGUUUAUUUUUCAUUCGUUUUUGGAGUAAUGUUUUGACUCCUUGGCUCUGAAAUUAAGCCACAAAAAAAAAAAGCUACCAUUCCAUAAAGAAACCUACUCCACAAUUCCACGGCUCGCAAUACUCCCACAAACACUGGGGCUCUCCUCCUACUGUGCUCUUGCUGCAGUGCAGACUGCUGCCACCUGCCCUCAAAGAAGAAAUAUUACAGUUCACGUUUGGAAGACAUCUCACCACACUAUGGAUUUAAUCCUGGUUAAGUAUGUUGCCUGUGGCACCCUUAAACACGUGAGUGGCUUAUCAAUUUUCCCCUACUCACCUUCCAUCAUUCCAUUAAUUAUUUCUUCUAAUUUAUAUCCCUCUCUCUUUUUUUGCAGUUGCAAUUUACUGACGUCAUGUCUCACAUGCAUGCCUAACAUUGGACCUGGAUGUGGAUGAGGAGGAAGCAAAUAGAAAAACACAUGAGGUUUUUUCAGCACUUCAUAGUUUUUUGACAUCGAAAUAAUUUCUUCUAUGCCAUUGUCAGUGUAUCACCUCCACACUUCCCAGAGCUACAAAUCUAAACUCAUGCUUUAUCUUGGCCCUGGUAUUUUGAUUCCAUUCUGACCACCAGGGAUCUGAAUGCUGCUCAGCUCCAUGCAAGAUAACAUAUUUAUCAGCAUAUGACACGCACAUUUAACUCCUGAAAAGCUUUCUGUUAAAGACGGAAGAAAGAGUGAAGAUAAUGUUGAAGAUAAAGUUCUUAAAGGGUCCCAGUAGGUUGCAGUUUGCGCAGUCCUCCUUGAUAUAUCAAUCCCCCUUCAAAUCACAGUGUCCCUUUCACAGUCACGUUCUAAAGGUAUGAGGUGUCAUUUUUGUACGAAUUUUUAAAUUGAACUUUUAGGUGUAUUACAUGAAAAUGCCUAUGUGUAAAUAGGGUACAUGAUGAUAAUGGAGUUAGUGCUGUGUCCUGUUUCUUCCCAGAUCAUGCACUUACCCUGAGGAGGAGCAAUGGUCCUGCCAGAAGCCGAUGCUGGAGGGUCUUGAAUGCAGCUUUCUGUUAAAGACGGAAGAAAGAGUGAAGAGUCAAGCUCUAUGAUUUUGACCCCUGCUGCUGAAUCCAGGGACAUCCUCUGCCAGAAGGACAUCUCUUAGCUCCGCCUCCCACUCUCGCAACUUGAUAGGCUUUCCUCGGUUUUGUCCUAGUCGAAGCCUCUGCAUCUUCUUUGUAACCGUUGCCCGACAAUCAUAGAACCUGCAAAUGUACAUAAACAUUACAAUUACAUUAAUAAAAAAACAAAUACUUAGAUUAAUGUUUUUUGAAAACCACAUUUCUUUUCACAUUGUGAUGGUUAUAUGUAUACUGUUCAGCAUGUGGCUGUGACAAAUAAAUUUUUUGGUUACGUUGAACUGUUA